ACUUGGCGGCACGUAAGCAGUUGUACAAACAUUUCCGAUCUUGUUUCAAUAUUCCGCGAUAUUAAAUUAAUCCGAGCAACUAACAUAACUUUAUAAGAUUAUUAAGCCUUUGUCAGCCUGGAGGACCUGGAGAAAUUCAUUGACGAGUGUUAUAAUACCUGCGUCAUGGGGAAAACCAACACCAACACCCCCUACUCCAAGCGAACACGGCCUGAAGAAUCUCCCGGGGCUGCCUCCUCUCCAGGCAGCGGCAUGAGCGACAUCCUUGAUUCCAUUGAUAAAAAGCUCCCCAGCCUUGAUUGCAGCCUUAACCUGCUGGAGAUCCUCCAUAGAGAAUUUCAAGGCCUGCGGGAGUCUCUGGAGUUCAGCCAGCAGCAGGUGCGGGAGCUAGCAGCGGAGAACCAGGCCCUCAGAGAGACUGUGAAGAUCCCGGGCAAUGUCACCGCCCGUCUCUCCGAGGAGAACCGAUCCAUAAAGGAAACCCUCCUGGAUCUUCAGUCGAGGAGCAUGAGGGACAAUCUAGUGUUCUCUGGGAUUCCAGAGGAGGCAGGAGAAGUCCCCGAGGCCACAGUGAAGUCCUUCUUAGAGGUCCACCCUAAGCUCCCCAAGGAGGUGCAGAAGAUCUCUUUCCACAGGGUUCACCGCCUCGGAGGAAGAAGGUCCGACAACCAGCGCCCGGGUCCCAUUGUUAAGUUUGAACAAUUUAAACAAAAGGAGCUGGUGAAGGGCCGAGGACGGGAACUGAAAGGGACACAUUACAGCGUGAAUGACCAGUUCCCGGCAGAAAUCCUCCGUAGAAGGAAGAUCCUGUUCCCGCUGAGGAGGAAACAUCUUGCUGCUGGUUCGAGAGCGGUUGUGGCCGUUGAUGAGCUAUACGUCGACGGCCAGCUGUUCCGGGACCCAGAGAUCACCCCCUGGCUGUGCUGAAGACUUUCAGAUCCGCGCUGAGAACAUCUGCGCUGCCCAGAAGAAACCCGCUAAUUCCAUCACAUCAUCAAUAAUCCACACCUCCAUCUCAGGAAGUCUUUUUUCUUCACCUCAGUCCCACUGAUGUUUCUGUUGUUGUUUUGUUGUUUUUGUUUUCUCUUUCUUCUCUUGUUUUCUAUCUUUUCCUUGGNNNNNNNNNNNNNNNNNNNNNNNN
Molecule: long non-coding RNA, 1141 nt
Filed under: Oryzias sinensis (Chinese medaka)
Lineage: Eukaryota; Metazoa; Chordata; Actinopteri; Beloniformes; Adrianichthyidae
Description: lncRNA (ENSOSIG00000015360.1)
Source: RNAcentral